RNAcentral lists this ribosomal RNA (253 nucleotides) under uncultured bacterium. RNAcentral describes it as "partial 16S ribosomal RNA". It matches the Rfam family "Bacterial small subunit ribosomal RNA", at positions 524 to 776 of the family's 1533-position model. The record is from RNAcentral.
UACGGAGGGUGCAAGCGUUAUCCGGAUUCACUGGGUUUAAAGGGUGCGUAGGUGGGUUGGUAAGUCAGUGGUGAAAUCUCCGAGCUUAACUUGGAAACUGCCAUUGAUACUAUCAGUCUUGAAUAUUGUGGAGGUCAGCGGAAUAUGUCAUGUAGCGGUGAAAUGCUUAGAUAUGACAUAGAACACCAAUCGCGAAGGCAGCUGGCUACACAUAUAUUGACACUGAGGCACGAAAGCGUGGGGAUCAAACAGG